This 76-nucleotide transfer RNA is filed under the name Candidatus Vogelbacteria bacterium CG10_big_fil_rev_8_21_14_0_10_45_14. Its description in RNAcentral is "tRNA-Lys". It matches the Rfam family "tRNA". Rfam says of the family: Transfer RNA (tRNA) molecules are approximately 80 nucleotides in length. Their secondary structure includes four short double-helical elements and three loops (D, anti-codon, and T loops). The record is from RNAcentral. Lineage: Bacteria; Candidatus Vogeliibacteriota.
CCGCCCAUAGCUCAGCUGGUAGAGCAGCUCCCUUUUAAGGAGAAGGUCCUUGGUUCGAUCCCAAGUGGGCGGACAA